Molecule: long non-coding RNA, 6272 nt
Organism: Lagopus muta (rock ptarmigan)
Lineage: Eukaryota; Metazoa; Chordata; Aves; Galliformes; Phasianidae
Exons: 2
Source: RefSeq, a predicted model, not a curated record
GCCUGCCGCUGCCGCGCUUGUUAGGCGGCGCGGGCGCGGGAGCAGGUGCCCAGCAGCAGGUGCCCGGCAGCAGCCCGCACCGUACCGCGCAGCGCAGGAGCAGAGGGGCUCGAGCGAGAGGCGCGGUCCCGGCUGUAAGCAAGAAAAUUUCCUCGCUCACCGAGCCCUCUUCGAGCAGCGCGGCGCUCCGCUGCCAGGGAGCUCCUGGCGCCGGUCCGGUCCCGCUGCCGCCGCCCCGGGCAGCACGCCCCGGCGCCCUUCUGGCUGCGCUUCCGGCCCGACGGACCCCGCGCCGCGUCCGUGCCGAGGGGCCGCCGCCAAAUCUGGGCCGGAGCAGAAGGGAUUCACUGUGAACUAUGAGUGCCGCAACAUAAGUUUUCUAAAUGGCAAAUGCGUCCAAAAGUAAACUUGUAUUCAGACAUUAAAAUCAACUGGAGUUGGUAGCAUCCUCUCUGGAAGUUAAAUAUCACUGAAAGCUGGGGCGGUACGGGGGUCGGGUUGCGCGUAGCCGAUCCCUCGGGCCCUGCGGGAGCCGGUACUGCGGCGGGGAGGGCACCCGGGAGCCGGGUACUGCUGCGGGAUGGGCAGCAGCACUGAGGCGGCUAGGGGCAGUGCAACUGCAGCAAGGAGACGGGAGAAGGAAGACGGACAGAGCGGCGUCGGAGACAGCAGAAAGAAAAACUCCUGAGAAGUGUGAAAAGAAAAGGAGGGGGAGGAGCUACCCACAGGCUGCCAGGAGCCGUCCCGCUGGCAGCUUCUGGUCUCUGCUGUAUCGUUGCCGAACUGGGCAUCAAGGUCAGAAACAGAAACUUUCUUCAAAUCAAAUCGUUAUUUCUAAAUAUGUCUAAGGGCUAAAGCAAAUCAGAAUCAGCCACAAUAAGAAUUUUGCUUCCUUAUCAAUACUGGUGAAAUGGCAGAGGGAAACGCAAACUGAAGGAGCGCAACUUUGUAAAAAGUUCUGAGUGCUUAGCUGCGUUCUUCUGACAUUACGAAAAAAUAUCUGUAUGUUCCUCUUUUAAGGCACUUCCUCUGCACAACAGACACAUUUCUUGUGCGCUGCUUUCUGUAGCACUGUUCUGAUGGGUUCCCUCCUCAGCUGGAGUUCACCCAUGAUGAUUCCGGGGGACUGCUGUGGCAGAAGCAAGGGGGGCUCUGGUUCCCAGCUCCAUGGGCUCAGAGGGAUGGAAGUAACAAAGAACAAGAACUGCAGGAGCUGGGAAAAGGAACAGAUCUGUCGAUUUCCUAGAAGCCGUACCCUACAAACAGGAGAUGGGCAGACAGGCAGGGGGAAGUGCAAACCUGCCUGUGCUGGACACCAUCAUUCCUAUGGACACUUUGCCUUGCGCUUGACUUGCGCUGUAAGCCCAGCUUCUGCAGCUCUGGCUUUAAUAAAGUAACGCCAGCCAUGCAAAUGAGAUAUUACUUCAUUUUCAUUAAAUGUCACAUGCUGAGCUAGGCAGUUAUGAUGGUUUUCUCUGCAUUGACAACAGGCUGUUAUUUGUACUGGGAAAAGAGAAAGGAUGCUCAGCAGGAGGAUGUAUGUACUGGUAUAUAAGAACAUGCCUUAAUUAGUGAUGUGUGGCAAAGAGCUCCCAAGCUAGGAGUGCAGAUUUGCAAAUCCAGAUGUUUACAGAGGGAUGAGAAUUACACGACUCCAUCUAAUUACAAACUGCUUUGUUAAUCAAUGUCACUGAGAUACAACAGGACAAUUGUUGUUCAGAUACAAUGGCAACAAUAUUACUUCGUUAACAAACUACAGUAUUUGUUAUUUGGUGUUAGACUGAAACACAAUCUAACACUAAGAGAUGGUAUUUCUCAUGUAGGGCCCUUUUUUUUUGUCUUUGUUUUCAAAAACAUUUCUGUGGGUAAGGAGAAAAUGUGUGAACCAUCCACCUUGUGGUAACUAGCCCUGAGCUGGUUAUGUGACUGGUUGGCUGGUCUGGCUUACAGAUUCAGAAUGGAUUGUCAGUCUGCAAAACUCCCCUAAUGCUUCACCUGGUUGUGAGGAAAAACACCAACUUGGAAGUAAUCUGGAGGAAAAAAAAUAGUUCAGUGAUUCUCAUAAAUUUCUGAUGAUCCAUUUCAGGACUGGUUACUGUCCUGCUCAGGCAAUGAGAAAGUUGCUUGUUUUAGUCCAGAAAAAUACGGGAAGACCAAAAAACCUUUUUGUUUGUUUUUUUACCUUACAGAAGGAAGUUAAAAGCUCAGAGGUACUGAAUUGAUGCCUUUAGAAACUGAAAUAUAAUUUAGCCAUAAAGCAGUUUAAACCAUGAGCAACAGCAGCAUUACCUGCCCUGCAUUACAUUGUCAGUAAGCCCUAAUCCUGUUUUAGGGAAAUCACCCUUGGAAACUCAGUCUCACUGGACAUUUAACUAGCUUCCCUUAUAAAGAAAACCUCUAAGGGGAGAAACUAUAAGCUUCUGAAAACAAAUACAGAAAAAUCUAUUAGAAGCCUUUUUUCCUUCAAGAGAACGAUUUAUCAAGAGUUUAGCUGGCUGUGUACAAAACCACCUUUUCAUGGACUACUUGCCUUUUGAUUUAAUCCUUUUUGAGUUAUAAAUACAAGGUCUGGCCUGUAACCAGAUAACUUAUAUGAAAUGUGGUUUGUUCGCAGUUCUGAAAAUGCAGUUUGUUCUCUGCUAUAUUAGUUGAACAGCAAAAAGGCAAUUCAGGGAUUCAUCUUUGCCCUUAUAAACUUCAGAUACCCCUCUCCCCUAGCAUCUGCUGGGAUUUUGUACAAAGUCUGAAGAUGUAUGAAAAUGAGAUUUAAAGCAAAAGACCUCUUGCUGAUCUAUACUGUGCACUACUACAACUGUUUGAUUUGCAGUUGUAAGAGAGAUUAGUAUGUAUUUAUGGUGAUUUGCUUAUGGUGUCACCUUCAGCUUCCACAGCAAGCAAUUAAGGUAUCUCAAAGAGCAGGUUGAGUCAGGUGAGAGCACACAGCAGGAACAAAUAAGCUGUUGGGGUCCCACCCAGCAGCAGCGAUCUGUCAGCCCACUCCCUAUGGAAUAAGAAUGACUGCAGAUUUGCUGCAUUGUGCUUGCCAGCACAGGUUUUGCACAGCAGAGAAAAGACAGAAUGGCACAGGCAGGCCGUUUCAGGUGCCAGUGGGGAACAGCACUGGGCCUAGGGAAUUCUCCUGUGAUUGCUUCUUCUUGUAGGAGAAAACAGGCACAGAGGGUAAAACCCAGCCAGUAAUGUGAACAGCUAAGGAGUGCAUAAGCUUUCUGAGGUGUGCACCCAAGAAUAACUGCCAGGUAGACAGUUGUGUAGAUUCAUAUCCAAACAUUCUGUAAUUUUAUUUGGCCCAAUUAAACCAGAUUGGUUCCCAAAUUUAAUCAUGCCCUGCUUCCUAUAGAAAAAUAGUUCUGAUUUUCUACUUUCAGAUCUUCUGCCCAGAGACUAACAAAAUAACAUUGGUGUUUUCCCAGAAAAUUGAUGUAUUUUAAAAUGUUUGCAAAGAUUGUGAUAAGAUGUUUAAAUAAAAAUUCGCAUUUUCCAGUUACAAUUUUGGCAAAUCUCAAUCUCAGAAAUGAGAAUUUUUUAUCUUUACAGGUAGCUGUAAACAGGAGGAUAACAGGGAAACUGUUAGAUGAUCUUAACCAAACUGGGAACAGCAGCAGUAGACAAAUAUAAAACUGUUGACCUUGAAGGAUCAUUGGGCUGCAUGGACAUUGGGUUCUGUACCUUCUGAAGAACAAAUUUAUUAAGACAGUGCCAGUAAUGUCAUCUGCUGCUUUUCAUUGGGUGCCUACAAUACAGUCUUUGAAUUCUAAUCUCCCAUUUAUACAUUACCUUGGAUGAAGUUAAAAGUGAGAAAAAUAUUAGCUCAAUGUAAAAGAUAGUUACAGAAUCACAGAAUUGUAGGGGUUGGAAAAUCAUUAAACAUGCUGGUUUAUAUAGCCGUAAUUGUCCAUAUACCCAUAAUGCUGCCAAGCAUUUCUUUCUUUACUAUUUUAAACUAACUUUGGAUUUCAGUCUUACCUUGAGAGAGCAUCUUCUCCAGAGGCAAAUCUCUUUGGUAUUUACUGAUGCCAUGAAAGUUGCUCAGAUAGGAUAUCAGCAGGUUUUCUUUCAGGUGCAAAGAAUUCCUAAGCGAGCAAAGAUGCAAGUGUCAGGAGCUUGACCUGUUUUUCUUGUCAGACGCUUCUGUCAAAACAAGUGCAUUGUUACAAAGAAAUAACUCAAAUUGAAAAUUAUUUGCUAUUCGAAUGGGUAAUUGUAUUUUAACAGGGCAAAAUCCCAACCCAACUUGCCAGAGAACACUCAGCUAAAGCCAGCAUGUGUUGGAACAGCAUGUGUGCUCACUGUAAUUGUAAAUGGGGAUACUGUGACCAUGCUGCCUCUUCUGAUUUAAAAGAAUUAAAACCAACACUGUCCAAAUUUUAACUGAAACUCCUAAUAAUUAGGGGUUAUUAGGGGCUAGCUUUAUUUUCUGCAACAGUUCUGUUGUAUUUGGAGAUUCUAUUUAAAUCUAGAAUUAAGAGCUGUGUUUGAACAGGUAAUCCAAUCUUCUCUGUGUAAUUUAGCCAAUGAUUUUUUUUUCCUGGUCCUUAGUUUUGGCUGUGUUUCAAGAUAAACACUGAAACUGCAAUACUAAAAAUAACCUCAUUCAAUAUAUUUUACCCCAAAGGAUAUACCAGGACAGCCUACAAAUGAUCUGUAAAAUUCUGAUUUAUUUAUUUAUUACUUACUGAGGAAGCUCAGUGACAGGGUACUGAUGGGGACUUCACAGUGUACAUCCUCCCCUCUAGCGGCUGUUCCUCUCACAGAAAAGUUGCAACACUUCAGCAUUUCAUCUGUACUAGGUACAAAGUGAUGGGCACAGCAUGGAGGAAAGCUAGACAGGAAGAAGACAUUAGAUACAAUCUUUUAUGCACUAGGAUAUUCAAAUCUUGGAGUGAUAAGAGCUAUAAGAAGACAGAGAUGCACAAUGAGAACUGCAGGUUUGACAAUAUUUUUGUGAAAAAUAUGUUUUCCUUGAAAGAUGAUAGCAGUUGUGAUCACCUGCAUGCAAAACCAGCUUCACAGCCAUUUCUCAGCCUCUCAGACCAAUCUUUUUGUCAGCUUGUCUUGCUUUCCUAUAUUGCCAGUGCCUUACAGGACUCAUAGAGUGAAAAAAAAAAUGUCAGUAAACCUAUAGGAUAUCUAUCCCUCUUAUUUCCUCCAAACCUUUUUCUGCUAUCCACUACAUUCUCCAAUUCACCUGUCCUUUUGUCCUUAACAUUAGCAAACCCAUAUCCUAGUCUUCAUGUACAUUGUUUACUUUUUUGCUAUUUCUACUAUGAGAUAAGUGCCUCUAAUACAACCCAACGCACAUUCCCAAAUUGCUGUCAAAGUGAUGUGAAAAACCCAUGACUCUCAGGAGAAUAGAUCACUGCAAAAGCAGAGCUAUCCAUAAACUAGGUUGCAGAGUUACAAUCAGCACAUGGAAUAUUUUGUAAGGACUUAUUUCUUGCCUGCACACAGGGGCAAGUGGUCAUGCAAGGAAGUCCCUGCACUGUACUGCAGCUCUGGCCAGCUUUUCCAGGCAUUGCACCAGGGGCACUACGAAGUCUAAAUAUCUCAAACUUUGGAAGUAGGCUGGAAAAAAAACAAACAAACAGGGGGAGAGAAAAAAUGCUGGAAUUUCGUUCAUGUCUCACAAUGAGAACCACACUGUGAGAGUUUCCUGUCUCUUCAACUGAAGAUCUCUCUUUUUCCUCUGCUUACUGUCACCCUAUUUGAUUACAUCCACUUACACCAGUUUCAUAGCAAGGUUGGUCUCUCCAGCUGUAUUUGUCCAUUCUGGUUCUGAACAGAACAGUCUAGGUCUUUGUAACCUACAGUAACUAGAUUUCAUCAGUGCUUGUCAGUGCUCUGGCAGAAUAUACCAGCGAAGGCUAUUAGAUGCCUCCCUGUUUUCGUAGCACUUACUGGACAUACAGUCUCAGAGUACAUUUCCAUCAAAAAUAAAAAUCUGGCAUGAUGUGACUAUCAGAUCUGGAGACUUUUAACCACAAGUCACCAGCAAUUAAAAUCCUAAUAUUAAUAUUUCGUUAAGGUCUCCUCCUUCUGAGUAAGUAACUCAUUAUUCAACUAGACAAAUGUGUUUGCAGCCUUCCCAGCAGGAUAACUCUCUAAAAUAAUGGGUUACUUACCAAUUCUUUGAACUUCAUCUGGGACAAUUCUUACUGCCUUUUUUCCUCUCUGGAUUUGGAUAGGAAAAUUAUUAAUAGUUACAUGUAUUUUCAGCAAAAAAAAAAAAAAAAAAAAAAAAAAGAAAUAGAAAA